This 996-nucleotide ribosomal RNA is filed under the name Virgibacillus pantothenticus. RNAcentral's name for it is "bacterial SSU rRNA". It matches the Rfam family "Bacterial small subunit ribosomal RNA", at positions 57 to 1010 of the family's 1533-position model. The record is from RNAcentral. Lineage: Bacteria; Bacillati; Bacillota; Bacilli; Caryophanales; Bacillaceae.
GCGGGAAGCAGAGCAGAACCCCUUCGGGGGGUGACGCAUGUGGAACGAGCGGCGGACGGGUGAGUAACACGUGGGCAACCUGCCUGUAAGACUGGGAUAACUCCGGGAAACCGGGGCUAAUACCGGAUAGAUACGUUUUCUUGCAUAAGGAGACGUUAAAAGGCGGCGCAUGCUGUCACUUACAGAUGGGCCCGCGGCGCAAUAGCUAGUUGGUGGGGUAAAAGCCUACCAAGGCGACGAUGCGUAGCCGACCUGAGAGGGUGAUCGGCCACACUGGGACUGAGACACGGCCUCAGACUCCUACGGGAGAGCUAGCAGUAGGGAAUCUUGCCGCAAUGGACGAAAGUCUGACGGAGCAACGCCCCGUGAGUGAAGAAGGUUUUUCGGAUCGUAAAACUCUGUUGUUAGGGAAGAACAAGUGCCGUUCAAAUAGGGCGGCACCUUGACGGUACCUAACCUGAAAGUCCCCGGGCUAACUACGUGCCAGCAGCCGCGGUAAUACUUAGAGGGCAAGCGUUGUCCGGAAAUUAUGGGGGCGUAAAGCGCGCGCAAUGCGGUCUUUUAAGUCUGAUGUGAAAGCCCACGGACUUAACCGUGGAGGGCCAUUGGAAACUGGAGGACUUGAGUACAGAAGAGGAGAGUGGAAUUCCACGUGUAGCGGUGAACUGCGUAGAGAUGUGGAGGAACACCAGUGGCGAAGGCGACUCUCUGGUCUGUAACAGACGCUGAGGUGCGAAAGCGUGGGUAGCGAACAGGAUUAGAUACCCAUGGUAGUCCACGCCGUAAACGAUGAGUGCUAGGUGUUAGGGGGUUUUCCGCCCCUUAGUGCUGCAGUUAACGCAUUAAGCACUCCGCCUGGGGAGUACGGCCGCAAGGCUGAAACUCAAAAAGAAUUGACGGGGACCCGCACAAGCGGUGGAGCAUGUGGUUUAAUUCGAGAGCAAGCGCGAAGAACCUUACCAGGUCUUGACAUCCUCUGACGGCCCUAGAGAUAGG